UGAAUGGUAUGUAAGUAAAUUCCCGGCAUGAGCAUGUCAUGAGACUGAAAUGGCAUGAUAGACACUGGAUGAAAAGAGAGUAAGGGCAGAAGCAAAACCCCAUCAUACAAAGGGUCAUUCCUGUUUUCCCUAUGAUAUGUUAAAUCGUGAAUUUCUCUCAAAAUAAUUUAACAGUAGACUCAGUUGCUUCUUGAAGUGCAGUGAAAGCAAAGCAGAAGCCUAGGGAUAGUCUUACUGGCAGAUGCACAUCUUCACCCAUUGAUGAAAUCCAUGAGGACUCUUAAAUAUGUGAAAUUCAACUUGUACUCUCAAUCAAAACGAGCCAGUUUCUGGGGAAGAAAUAUGUGUGCGUGCGUGUUUUCUUUCGGUUUCUCGACUGAAAGUGGAACAAAUUAGUCACUGUGUUGCCAUCUGAAGAUCUGUCAAAACUAGUUACCAGCCAGCAACAUCCGUACAGCUCGCUGAGUUGCCUUCUUCGGAUGAGAUUCUUAGAAGAGCUGCCACUUAAUAAGGUUCUGAUCAAGCUGAAGUCAAACAGAAUUUCAGCAUUUUCAGAUUGGACGUAUUUUUCCCCCCAGCCAGAUGAAAUGAUUGCGACAUUUUGAUAAUGAUAUGUUUGGAUCAAAUGAAAUGAAAUAAAAAUCUG
RNAcentral lists this long non-coding RNA (646 nucleotides) under Crocodylus porosus (Australian saltwater crocodile). RNAcentral describes it as "lncRNA (ENSCPRG00005009794.1)". Lineage: Eukaryota; Metazoa; Chordata; Crocodylia; Crocodylidae. The record is from RNAcentral.